AAANNUGGNNGCAAACAGGAUUANNUNCCGUGGUAGUCCRUGCCGUAAACGANGAGUGCUAAGUGUUGGAGGGUUUCCGCCCUUCAGUGCUGCAGCUAACGCAUUAAGCACUCCGCCUGGGGAGUACGACCGCAAGGUUGAAACUCAAAGGAAUUGACGGGGGCCCGCACAAGCGGUGGAGCAUGUGGYUUAAUUCGAAGCAACGCGAAGAACCUUACCAGGUCUUGACAUCCUUUGACCACUCUAGAGAUAGAGCUUCCCCUUCGGGGGCAAAGUGACAGGUGGUGCAUGGUUGUCGUCAGCUCGUGUCGUGAGAUGUUGGGUUAAGUCCCGCAACGAGCGCAACCCUUAUUGUUAGUUGCCAUCAUYMRGUUGGGCACUCUAGCAAGACUGCCGGUGACAAACCGGAGGAAGGUGGGKAKGACSUCAAAUCWUCAUGCCCCUUAUGACCUGGGCUACACMCGUGCNUACAAUGGGAAGUACAACGAGUUGCGAAGUCGCGAGGNUAAGCUAAUCUCUUAAAGYUUCNUCUCAGUUCGGAUUGCARGCUGCAACUCGCCUGCAUGAAGCCGGAAUCGCUAGUAAUCGCGGAUCAGCACGCCGCGGUGAAUACGUUCCCGGGCCUUGUACACACCGCCCGUCACACCAMGAGAGUUUGUMACACCCGAAGUCGGUGAGGUAACCUUYUUGGANCCAGCYGCCUAAGGUGGGAUAGAUGAUUGGGGUGAAGUCNNAAACAAGGUAG
This 745-nucleotide ribosomal RNA is filed under the name Enterococcus faecium. Its description in RNAcentral is "partial 16S ribosomal RNA". Lineage: Bacteria; Bacillati; Bacillota; Bacilli; Lactobacillales; Enterococcaceae. The record is from RNAcentral.